Molecule: transfer RNA, 72 nt
Filed under: Camelus bactrianus (Bactrian camel)
Lineage: Eukaryota; Metazoa; Chordata; Mammalia; Artiodactyla; Camelidae
Also listed under: 3 other names
Rfam family: tRNA
About the family: Transfer RNA (tRNA) molecules are approximately 80 nucleotides in length.
Source: Rfam by way of RNAcentral
GAGGGUAUAGCUCAGUGGUAGAGCUUGUGCUUAGCAUGCAUGAGGUCCUGGGUUCAAUCCCCAGUAUCUCCA